CAUUCUGUGCACACUACUAAGAAAAUUGAUUUCAAAGACACUUGUAUGGGGCUUUUCACGUCGGUUUACAACCGUCUUUGAAAUCGCCUUCAUAGAAAG
Molecule: microRNA precursor, 99 nt
Filed under: Glycine max (soybean)
Lineage: Eukaryota; Viridiplantae; Streptophyta; Magnoliopsida; Fabales; Fabaceae
Description: miR10425 stem-loop (gma-MIR10425)
Source: miRBase by way of RNAcentral